Molecule: long non-coding RNA, 473 nt
Filed under: Drosophila guanche
Lineage: Eukaryota; Metazoa; Arthropoda; Insecta; Diptera; Drosophilidae
Source: RNAcentral
GGGUGAUAAAUAUAUGUGGGACAGUUAAUAAAUUAAAUAUUAAAUAUUAAUAUAUGUAGGUGUUAAUGUCUUCAGGUGGCGUAUUUCUUUUAUUUUAUUUAUUGUUGUAGGCGGCGCGGUUGAGGCGGGUCGCACCCGGGCUGGGGCGUGACCAAUAUUCCGCGGGCCGGGGAAUGGGAAUUUGGCCCAUAUACGGGAGGCCGGCCGGUUCAAUUAAUCCUUUUCGUUUAGAUGCAAAAAAAUAAGUCCUCUGAUUGUCCAGCCGGUCCGUUUGGUUUUUCCCGAUUCGUUUCCGAUUUUUUUUCUGUUUUUCCACGGUUGACGGUGAACCAAGUUCAAGGGCAUGGCAUGGCAUUCUUGAGGGUGUGGGUGAGCUGGCUCGUGGAUCCCGCAAUAUUCACCUCUCUUAAAUUCUCCCCUCUCGCUCUCUCACCGGCACCGUUGAUCGCCUUGCCCCUUCGCCUAUCGACCUG